This 359-nucleotide ribosomal RNA is filed under the name Paenibacillus sp. Its description in RNAcentral is "bacterial SSU rRNA". It matches the Rfam family "Bacterial small subunit ribosomal RNA", at positions 92 to 444 of the family's 1533-position model. The record is from RNAcentral. Lineage: Bacteria; Bacillati; Bacillota; Bacilli; Caryophanales; Paenibacillaceae.
UUAGCGGCGGACGGGUGAGUAACACGUAGGCAACCUGCCCCCAAGUUUGGGACAACUACCGGAAACGGUAGCUAAUACCGAAUAGUUGUUUUCUUCGCCUGAAGGAAACUGGAAAGACGGAGCAAUCUGUCACUUGGGGAUGGGCCUGCGGCGCAUUAGCUAGUUGGUGGGGUAACGGCUCACCAAGGCGACGAUGCGUAGCCGACCUGAGAGGGUGAUCGGCCACACUGGGACUGAGACACGGCCCAGACUCCUACGGGAGGCAGCAGUAGGGAAUCUUCCGCAAUGGGCGAAAGCCUGACGGAGCAAUGCCGCGUGAGUGAUGAAGGUUUUCGGAUCGUAAAGCUCUGUUGCCAGGG